Molecule: ribosomal RNA, 404 nt
Filed under: uncultured bacterium
Lineage: Bacteria
Description: bacterial SSU rRNA
Rfam family: Bacterial small subunit ribosomal RNA
Source: RNAcentral
UGGGGGAUAUUGCACAAUGGGGGGAACCCUGAUGCAGCGACGCCGCGUGAGUGAAGGAGUACCCCGGUAUGUAAAGCUCUGUCAGCAGGGAAGAAAGUGACGGUACCUGACCAAGAAGCCCCGGCUAACUACGUGCCAGCAGCCGCGGUAAUACGUAGGGGGCAAGCGUUAUCCGGAUUUACUGGGUGUAAAGGGAGCGCAGACGGCCAUGCAAGUCCGGAGUGAAAGCCCGGGGCCCAACCCCGGGACUGCUCUGGAAACUGCAAGGCUCGAGUGCCGGAGGGGCAGGCGGAAUUCCUAGUGUAGCGGUGAAAUGCGUAGAUAUUAGGAGGAACACCAGUGGCGGAGGCGGCCUGCUGGACGGCAACUGACGUUGAGGCUCGAAAGCGUGGGGAGCAAACAGG